Long non-coding RNA from Sphaeramia orbicularis (orbiculate cardinalfish), 210 nucleotides. RefSeq lists it as uncharacterized. The transcript has 3 exons. The record is from RefSeq and is a predicted model, not a curated record. Lineage: Eukaryota; Metazoa; Chordata; Actinopteri; Kurtiformes; Apogonidae.
GAUGAACGUGUUUUAACACUUUAUGGUUAACACUCAUUGAAAUACUCUGAAAUUCUAAAUUUCAGCCUUAGUGUGUUAUUGGACAUCGUCAUCUACCUCCUGGUCGGUUGCCGUGACAACAGUCUCCCUUUUCUUGCCAUAAAGCAUCUGAGCAGCACUAGCUAAAAAGUAAACACAUGCAAUAAAACAACUGUUAUAAGGUCAUAAACU